UGGGGAAUAUUGCACAAUGGGCGCAAGCCUGAUGCAGCCAUGCCGCGUGUGUGAAGAAGGCCUUCGGGUUGUAAAGCACUUUCAGCGAGGAGGAAGGUGGUGAGCUUAAUACGCUCAUCAAUUGACGUUACUCGCAGAAGAAGCACCGGCUAACUCCGUGCCAGCAGCCGCGGUAAUACGGAGGGUGCAAGCGUUAAUCGGAAUUACUGGGCGUAAAGCGCACGCAGGCGGUUUGUUAAGUCAGAUGUGAAAUCCCCGGGCUCAACCUGGGAACUGCAUUUGAAACUGGCAAGCUAGAGUCUCGUAGAGGGGGGUAGAAUUCCAGGUGUAGCGGUGAAAUGCGUAGAGAUCUGGAGGAAUACCGGUGGCGAAGGCGGCCCCCUGGACGAAGACUGACGCUCAGGUGCGAAAGCGUGGGGCAGCAAACAGGAUUAGAUACCCUGGUAGUCCACGCUGUAAAACGAUGUCGAUUUUGGAGGUUGUGCCCUUGAGGCGUGGCUUCCGGAGCUAACGCGUUAAAUCGACCGCCUGGGGAGUACGGCCGCAAGGUUAAAACUUAAAUGAAUUGACGGGGUUC
RNAcentral lists this ribosomal RNA (577 nucleotides) under uncultured bacterium. RNAcentral describes it as "partial 16S ribosomal RNA". It matches the Rfam family "Bacterial small subunit ribosomal RNA", at positions 355 to 921 of the family's 1533-position model. The record is from RNAcentral.